GUGAAAAGUGUUUUAGAAAAAAAGCCUGCUGGGGAGAAGAUAUUGCAGGAAUACAAAACAACUGGGAAAAUCACAGAUUCCACAAGACGGAUUCUUGUGAACGCAUUAGUUGGAGACAUGAUCGAUAAAUAUGGGAGUAUUCCACCUAAGGAGAUCAGAGUUAAAUAUGCAGUUGGGAUUGUGACUCUGUUUCCCUCUCUCAAAGAUCCCUUUUCCAGAAAAGGCUGUGAACACUUCUAUGAUGCAGAAGGUAACUCAGGAUAUAUAGCCUGGAGACUGAAGACAGUUCAACGUAACAACCGCUGCAGCAGAACCACUUCUGAUGAUAAAUGUGAG
Long non-coding RNA from Labeo rohita (rohu), 336 nucleotides. RefSeq lists it as uncharacterized. The transcript is spliced from 3 exons. The record is from RefSeq and is a predicted model, not a curated record. NCBI's taxonomy places the organism in Eukaryota, Metazoa, Chordata, Actinopteri, Cypriniformes, Cyprinidae.